This is a non-coding RNA of Viridibacillus arenosi FSL R5-213, 182 nucleotides long. It matches the Rfam family "6S / SsrS RNA". From Rfam's summary of the family: E. coli 6S RNA was the first non coding RNA to be sequenced, but its function was unknown until recently. It consists of 184 nucleotides that fold into an extended hairpin structure with a large single-stranded internal bulge. The record is from Rfam. Lineage: Bacteria; Bacillati; Bacillota; Bacilli; Caryophanales; Caryophanaceae.
CGAAUCCUGAUGUGUUCGUUAUAAGCUUAUCAGUUUUGACCGAACAUUUUAUCGUUGGGAGUUCACAUUUUGAAAUGGCGAACAUGCCUGUCAUGGGACGUUUAAAAUUUCGAAGAGAACACCCACCUGCUUAUUGCGGGUUCAAAACGAUUAGAUUUUUAGACGGCACAAUCGGGAUUCGU